UAUAAUUCUAUUUUCGAAUUUAUUAUAAUUAUUCGUUAUUUAUAAAAAACCAUUUAUUAAAAAAAGUCCAUGUUCAACCACCCAAACCCAAUCCUUUUACUCCAACGGAUCAUCGACACCCAAACUUCCCUCUCUAAAAUCCAUCCAUGUUGGCGGCGUCCGCCUUUCUUUCUGCCACAACUAUCGUCAUCCACCCUCUCUACCGCCACCAACAACCGACAGUCAUCCCUCACCUCUCUUCCAAACUUCGACCGUUCCCUCAAUCUCCCCUAAAAUACCACCCACUCCUAUAUUAGCCCUUCACCCCACAAUAUUUAACCCAUCUACCCUUCUUGUUCAAAGAUUCAACUAGAAUCGUAAUCACCACCACCCACAUCCUACUCACCUUUACAACCAACAACAACCACCGUACACAGCACUAGAAACCACCACCACGAGAGCCAAAUAAAAAUCAAAUCAAAGACAAAGCUGAUAAUCAAACUUGAAAUCAAAGCUGGAAACAAAUUAACCUGAAAUUAAAGUUCAAUACCAACCCAUAAUAAAAUGUGAAAUCAAAGUGCAAAACUAAACCAUAAAUAAAAAUGUGAAAUCAAAGUGCAAAACCAAACCAUAAUAAAUCUGAAAUCUAGUAACAUGGUUAGGGAUACAAUCGAAGUGGCGAUGAGAAAAACAGAGAGUUGUCAAUGAGUUUUCGACAACUAAUUUCUAUGAUACUGGUUUACAAACGAUUCCAAAAUCCAAAUUCCAAAAUCAAAGCAAAGUCAAAAUUGAGGAACCUACCACCGAUCUGUGAAAUCGAAACUAAAAAUCAUAUGAAGGGUUCUGAAACGAAAAUCAAUUUCUUGAUAACAUCGAUUUCAAAAUCGUUAACGAUUGGCUGUAGCUCUCCAUUUUUGUUUUUUACCUUAACGUCAUAGUGGUGGCAGUCGGAUGUGAUUUUCCAGAACACAAGGUCAAGUUGUGGACGAGGGGUUGGGGAUCUGAUUGGCUCAUACUGCAAAUUUGUGUUAAUUACUUCCAAUAGAGAAGAAGAAAAAGAGCAGGGCCAUCAGAAAAAUGGCGCCGGAAAAAGGGUUUGGGUAGAGACAUUUGAGAAGAGUUUGGGCGAGUGGGGAUAAAAUGAAGGGUUUUUUUCCUUUUGAU
RNAcentral lists this long non-coding RNA (1143 nucleotides) under Lactuca sativa (garden lettuce). Its description in RNAcentral is "long non-coding RNA (LSAT_LNC007673)". The record is from RNAcentral. Lineage: Eukaryota; Viridiplantae; Streptophyta; Magnoliopsida; Asterales; Asteraceae.